GAGGAAUAUUGGUCAAUGGGCGAGAGCCUGAACCAGCCAAGUAGCGUGCAGGAAGACGGCCCUAUGGGUUGUAAACUGCUUUUAUGUGGGGAUAAAGUGAGCUACGUGUAGUUUAUUGCAGGUACCACAUGAAUAAGGACCGGCUAAUUCCGUGCCAGCAGCCGCGGUAAUACGGAAGGUCCAGGCGCUAUCCGGAUUUAUUGGGUUUAAAGGGAGCGUAGGCCGUGGAUUAAGCGUGUUGUGAAAUGUAGACGCUCAACGUCUGAAUUGCAGCGCGAACUGGUUCACUUGAGUAUGCACAACGUAGGCGGAAUUCGUCGUGUAGCGGUGAAAUGCUUAGAUAUGACGAAGAACUCCGAUUGCGAAGGCAGCUUACGGGAGCACAACUGACGCUGAAGCUCGAAGGUGCGGGUAUCAAACAGGAUUAGAUACCCUGGUAGUCCGCAUAGUAAACGAUGGAUGCCCGUUGUUAGUUCACUUAAGAAUUAGCGACCAAGCGAAAGCAUUAAGCAUCCCACCUGGGGAGUACGCCGGCAACGGUG
RNAcentral lists this ribosomal RNA (542 nucleotides) under uncultured bacterium. RNAcentral describes it as "bacterial SSU rRNA". It matches the Rfam family "Bacterial small subunit ribosomal RNA", at positions 356 to 896 of the family's 1533-position model. The record is from RNAcentral.